Molecule: ribosomal RNA, 269 nt
Filed under: uncultured prokaryote
Description: partial 16S ribosomal RNA
Rfam family: Bacterial small subunit ribosomal RNA
Source: RNAcentral
UACGAAGGUGGCGAGCGUUGUUCGGAAUCACUGGGCUUAAAGCGCGCGUAGGCGGAAGAGAAAGUGUGGAGUGAAAUCCCCCGGCUUAACCGGGGAACUUGUCUGCAAACUUCUCUUCUUGAGGCAAGUAGGGGUACAUGGAACUCUUGGUGGAGCGGUGGAAUGCGUAGAUAUCAAGAGGAACGCCGAUGGUGAAGACAGUGUACUGGCCUUGUCCUGACGCUGAGGUGCGAAAGCGUGGGGAGCGAACGGGAUUAGAUACCCCUGUA